GCUGAGAAUGAUGCAGAGACAAAAACCAGUCCUUCUCUCCCAAGCGAAGAAACGUCUUAAGCUAAUUUAAGUCAGUGAGUGAGUGGCUGACGGUGGUGAAGGGUGGGGUGAGACUCUGUUCCUCCCCUGCACACCCUGGCCUCAAAGCUCCAGUGACUCUUUGAAGCAUUCGGUGCAGAGAAUGUGCUAUCAGUCAAACACUGACAUUUUACAGACAGUAUUCAGGAACAAUCCUGAUCCAGAGGAACUAAACUCCCAAGCUGUUUGCCUUCUUUAAUUCAGGAGACAGAAAUAUGUGGAGAUAUAUGGGGAAACACCAUUUUUUUUAGCUUUGGGAAAUGCUUUUACCUCUAAAAACAAGAAGGACACAAUCUAACAAAAGCUUUGAAUGCAGUCAAUGAAAAAGUCGAGCUGCGUCCUCAAACAGUAAGUUGGCCACUGCUUCUUCAGAUGGGACUGAUAGUUUUACCACAUGCUGACAUAAUUGUUUAACCUUUCAAUACUGCAUUGAGUACUCAAACAAUAAGACAUAUAUUCAACUUACUAUUUCUUGCCCACUAGUUUGGGUUAUAAAUAAAUUCUCUCAGUUUUUUACUAUUUGCUGAUUCCAGGUUCUCCAACAAGCAGCUUCCAAGAGACAAAAUACAUUAAUUGUGUCUUCGGGAAACUGAGAAACCCAUUUUGACAAUCUAUUUUGUCAUGAUGUAGGCUAAAAUAACUAAUUGGUGGUGGUGGUGUGUGAACAAUAAUGACGAUAACCAUUAUUUUUAAUGGAGAAACUGCAGCUCAUAGUUUGAUAGUUUGUUCCAUUCUGAUAAUGUAAUUAAAAUAAUGGUUCAUUAGUCAGUAUUUCACAAGUGGACAAGUGAGAGGGACGAAGUGGUCCACUUUAUGUCUAGAGGUUCAGCUUCUCCGCAUUUAGUCAGUCAUCAGGGGGUUCCUCUCUUAGCUCCAUGGCAUAAUUGGCAAACCGUGUGGUGUCAUCUUACCCUCCUCUUUUCAGUGCAGCCCUUUCCCCUCCUCCCUUCCCCAAAUGGAAAGGGUGGAGAGUGAGGGAGUCUUUCACAUGUUAGUUUGGUUUGCUGUAACAGUCCACUGACAGUUUGGCUCAAAAAGCAGCUCCAUACUGAGCUUCAUAUAUCUGGGUCAGGGUCUGCUAAUGCCAGCUAUAUUUGAUCUAUGUGGAUGUCAUCAUUGGACCUUUGGAGAGGCUCUUUUGCUUUUGUGCUGAUCGGCCAUUAAAACAGAGAGUGGGUAAGUGCUGUGAUGUGAUGAUACACAUACUAGUCGACAUAAAAGAUCUCAGCUCUGGCUGAUAUUCUCUGGGCAACUGAUUCAGGUUAACUAUGCUUUUGGUCUCAUAUUUCAGAAUAUAUCACGCACAUAUCACGUGCAACUGCACAGUCUGGGCAUGAAUGUAAGGAUUUAACGUGUUCUUGAUUGUGUGCGCACACCUGCUGACUCAUCACUGAAGCGAACAAUUGUUUAUCUAGCAUACAUAUUUGCCUGUGUGAGAUGCAAAUAAAUACUUUCAAAAGAC
Molecule: long non-coding RNA, 1540 nt
Organism: Archocentrus centrarchus (flier cichlid)
Lineage: Eukaryota; Metazoa; Chordata; Actinopteri; Cichliformes; Cichlidae
Exons: 2
Source: RefSeq, a predicted model, not a curated record